RNAcentral lists this ribosomal RNA (216 nucleotides) under Triticum aestivum (bread wheat). RNAcentral describes it as "partial small subunit ribosomal RNA". The record is from RNAcentral. Lineage: Eukaryota; Viridiplantae; Streptophyta; Magnoliopsida; Poales; Poaceae.
AUGGCUAUCUUAAGUUGGAACUGCCGCGGGCUGGGCGAUCCCGCGACGGUUCACGAGCUGCGCGACCUCACGCGCGAGACUGCGCCGGCGAUUCUUUGCGUUGCGGAGACACAAAUUGCCAAGUAUCGUGUGAAAGGCUUGGUUGGUAGUCUAGGUUUUGAUGGGCCUUAUGGUGUUGAUAGCAGUGGCCGUAGCGGGGGACUUUGCAUUUUCUAG